This 1471-nucleotide ribosomal RNA is filed under the name Streptococcus thermophilus. RNAcentral's name for it is "bacterial SSU rRNA". It matches the Rfam family "Bacterial small subunit ribosomal RNA". Lineage: Bacteria; Bacillati; Bacillota; Bacilli; Lactobacillales; Streptococcaceae. The record is from RNAcentral.
CGACGCUGGCGGCGUGCCUAAUACAUGCAAGUAGAACGCUGAAGAGAGGAGCUUGCUCUUCUUGGAUGAGUUGCGAACGGGUGAGUAACGCGUAGGUAACCUGCCUUGUAGCGGGGGAUAACUAUUGGAAACGAUAGCUAAUACCGCAUAACAAUGGAUGACACAUGUCAUUUAUUUGAAAGGGGCAAUUGCUCCACUACAAGAUGGACCUGCGUUGUAUUAGCUAGUAGGUGAGGUAAUGGCUCACCUAGGCGACGAUACAUAGCCGACCUGAGAGGGUGAUCGGCCACACUGGGACUGAGACACGGCCCAGACUCCUACGGGAGGCAGCAGUAGGGAAUCUUCGGCAAUGGGGGCAACCCUGACCGAGCAACGCCGCGUGAGUGAAGAAGGUUUUCGGAUCGUAAAGCUCUGUUGUAAGUCAAGAACGGGUGUGAGAGUGGAAAGUUCACACUGUGACGGUAGCUUACCAGAAAGGGACGGCUAACUACGUGCCAGCAGCCGCGGUAAUACGUAGGUCCCGAGCGUUGUCCGGAUUUAUUGGGCGUAAAGCGAGCGCAGGCGGUUUGAUAAGUCUGAAGUUAAAGGCUGUGGCUCAACCAUAGUUCGCUUUGGAAACUGUCAAACUUGAGUGCAGAAGGGGAGAGUGGAAUUCCAUGUGUAGCGGUGAAAUGCGUAGAUAUAUGGAGGAACACCGGUGGCGAAAGCGGCUCUCUGGUCUGUAACUGACGCUGAGGCUCGAAAGCGUGGGGAGCGAACAGGAUUAGAUACCCUGGUAGUCCACGCCGUAAACGAUGAGUGCUAGGUGUUGGAUCCUUUCCGGGAUUCAGUGCCGCAGCUAACGCAUUAAGCACUCCGCCUGGGGAGUACGACCGCAAGGUUGAAACUCAAAGGAAUUGACGGGGGCCCGCACAAGCGGUGGAGCAUGUGGUUUAAUUCGAAGCAACGCGAAGAACCUUACCAGGUCUUGACAUCCCGAUGCUAUUUCUAGAGAUAGAAAGUUACUUCGGUACAUCGGUGACAGGUGGUGCAUGGUUGUCGUCAGCUCGUGUCGUGAGAUGUUGGGUUAAGUCCCGCAACGAGCGCAACCCCUAUUGUUAGUUGCCAUCAUUCAGUUGGGCACUCUAGCGAGACUGCCGGUAAUAAACCGGAGGAAGGUGGGGAUGACGUCAAAUCAUCAUGCCCCUUAUGACCUGGGCUACACACGUGCUACAAUGGUUGGUACAACGAGUUGCGAGUCGGUGACGGCGAGCUAAUCUCUUAAAGCCAAUCUCAGUUCGGAUUGUAGGCUGCAACUCGCCUACAUGAAGUCGGAAUCGCUAGUAAUCGCGGAUCAGCACGCCGCGGUGAAUACGUUCCCGGGCCUUGUACACACCGCCCGUCACACCACGAGAGUUUGUAACACCCGAAGUCGGUGAGGUAACCUUUUGGAGCCAGCCGCCUAAGGUGGGACAGAUGAUUGGGGUGAAGU